UCUCCGGAUAAGCUCAGUCGGCUACUCCUCCGAUCCAACUUGUGGAUUGUCGCGAGCUUCUUUCACUUUUUCUCCCUCACUCACGUUCAUCUGCAUUGGAGCGGAAGCCCGGAGGUGAAGUUGUUUGGGAGGGAGCCUCGAGGUGACGGACGGCCUGGUGAGUUGAGGAGCAACUAGCGAGCUCCCCUGAGAGGUUUCACUGGAAAAGUCGUCGUUGACAUGUCGUGGUAUUCCCUGUCACUUUAGUUGUGGUGAAGCUGUCAUCUUGGUCUUAUUUUGUGGAGGUUUUUCAAGAGGGUGUCUGAUGGGUGGUGUAGAGUGAGGUCUAUGAUGCAGGGCUUCUUUGCUUCCAGCCACAGGGGUGGCCUCUUUCAAAGGCCUGUGAUCUUCUGCUUUGUGAUUAGUUCUAUUUGUCUAUAAGCUGUCUGGCAUUUUGGUUUCCUGGCUUCUUAGUUCUUUGCUGAUCUUGAUAUCUUCACUCUGCAACUUAUCUUCCUCUCUUGAAGGUGAGGCUUAAUGUGAAUAUGAUUACUUAUUUAUUUAUUACAUUUUUAUAUUGUUAUAUGUUCUUUCCAAUUCCUUUUGUGUGAUUCAUUGGAACAUGUUAGAUGAAUGCUAUAAGCAUAUAUCAAUUAUUAAUUGUUCAUUGUCAAUGGUUUACAACUACAUUUAUCACUAAGUGGUUUGUGCUCUCUGUAUGCGUAUGCGGAGUUCUUUUUUGUGCACAUGGUUAAUGGGCUUGGUUUGGAGUUUAGUUACUACAGUGGAGGCCACUAUUUUGAUAUUUUCACCUAUGAGUUGUUGGUUACUUCAUUUUUGAUAUUUUCACCUAUGAGUUGCUGGUUACUUUAUUUACAUGUCUGCAUUAUGUAUUUGGUUGUCAUUAUAAUUUUAUCCUUACUGUAUGUAUGAUGUCUUAUUUUUGAGCUAAUAUGUAUUGCAGGCCUGUGAUCUUCUGCUUUGUCAUCAGUUUUAUUUAUCUAUAAGCUGUCUGGGAUUUUGGUUUUUUGGUUUUUUAGUUCCUUGCUGAUCUUGAUAUCUUAGCUGUGCAGCUUAUCUUCCUAUCUUGAAGGUGAGGCUUAAUGUCAAUAUGGUUACUUAUUUAUUUAGUACAUUUUUAUAUUGUUAUAUGUUCUGUCCAAUUCCUUUUGUGUGGUUCAUUGUUACUAAUAUUCUAAUUUAUCUUUUCCUUUUUUUUAUUUUUUCCCUUGUUCUAUUCUAGAGGUGCUAGUGCGCCAUUUUUUUAUAUACUUAUUAUAGGAUGUUUUUAGUGGGUGCAUCCUAUAUUUCUUUAUUACAGGCUGUGGUCAGCCGGUGACAGUCGAUAUCUGCUUCUUAUUUAUGCGAGGUUGCUGACGAUGGAGCUGUCCUAGGUGGUGUAGAGAUCGAGUUGCCCCCUUUGCAUGCGCAGGUCACUCCUCGCUGUGUGUUUUUUUUGGAGUUGUCCUGAUAUUACUUAUAUGGCUCCUUAUGAGCAGGCAGUAUUUCAAGCUGUUAGUUUUCUCCAAGGUCUAUAUGGUUUUCUAGUGGUUGAUUAUAGCUACCAAGGCUUACUGUAUUAUAGGAGAGUGGCACAAUCAGCUAUUCGAGUUGCGGCGAGUUCCAUGUGUUGGGUAAGCCAUGUUCAUCAGCCUGCCCAUUUUCAGAAUAUGUUUCUUGAGGACAUCAAUCAGCCUUACCAAUUUUUUCUUGCUGAGAUUUCUUCCGGUGCUUUAUGGUUUUAGAUAUAUGUCUUCUAUUUUUGUUUGUUUUCCCUUGUGGAAAAAUUAUUCGUCAUAUAACCUUUGUUCUGCGUGUUCGCAUGCUUAUUAAUAAUAUUACUGUCCUACCUCUUACUAUUCUCUUUUCAUCCGUUAUACUUCGUUGCGAUAACUACUAUAACUAUGUGUUGAUGAUAUGUGGUGUGUCUUACUGUUCUCUUUUCGUUUGUUAUACUUCGUUGCGAUAACUACUAUAACUAUGUGUUGAUGGUAUGUGGUGUGCGGUUUCAUAUGUUCUUUCUCA
This is a long non-coding RNA of Phragmites australis (common reed), 2004 nucleotides long. RefSeq lists it as uncharacterized. The record is from RefSeq and is a predicted model, not a curated record. The transcript has 4 exons. NCBI's taxonomy places the organism in Eukaryota, Viridiplantae, Streptophyta, Magnoliopsida, Poales, Poaceae.